RNA transcript from Zingiber officinale, 1266 nucleotides. It is a transcript of the gene named protein NDH-DEPENDENT CYCLIC ELECTRON FLOW 5-like, with no coding region annotated. The record is from RefSeq and is a predicted model, not a curated record. The transcript is spliced from 5 exons. NCBI's taxonomy places the organism in Eukaryota, Viridiplantae, Streptophyta, Magnoliopsida, Zingiberales, Zingiberaceae.
UUUAGCAAUGGCUGUCACUGUUUCCAUCUUCUCCACUCCAAGUCCUCUCCCCCUCGUAAAUCUGAAGCACCUCAAGGCCUCCCACAAAUCUGCCUCUAUUUCUCACAGGAGGCAGCUCUCCGUGCUAGCCAUGACCUCCAUCUCCCUACCAAUCAACGUGGACUACUUGGAGACGGAGUUCAGCGGCCACGGCGUGAGCUUCCAGGGCGUCGGCGACAGCUGCGCCGUCAAGAUGGUCAUGGAGAACGGUAGCGUGGCCACUCUCAUGCUGCCCAGUGGUCUCGUCACGUCUUACAAGCCCAUCAUGUGGCACGGUGCCACCUUCGAAGUGCUGCACACUACUGUUUCGGAGGGAGAGGCAGGGGAGGCAGUGGUUCGAGGAGGAGCCUCCAUGGAUUUCAAGAUCCAUGCAGAUGGAUGCUCGUCGAUUCCAUGGUCUUCCAACCACUGGUCUCUUCAAAGUGUCAGAGGGAGCCCGGAAAAUUCCAUUCAGGUGGAGUUGCUAUCACUUUCUCCACACAGCAUGGUCGAAGCCAAAUUCUUGGUGACACUCGAUCAGGACUCUAUUAGCUCCGAACUGAUCGUCGCUAACACAAAGUCGUCGUCGGCGAUCGAAAUGUCGGGCUCCUUCAUCAGCCACUUGAAGGUGAGCACACCUGACGCAACCUAUGCAGUUGGGCUGCAAGGCUCAAAUUACCACAGCAAGAAGCCGAUAUCAUCAGAGUUCAGCAUCAUUCCGCCUUCUUUGUGGACGCCGAAUGAGAAAGAAGAGGAAGAAGGCUCCAGUACAGAGGAAUCGGAGGGAGAGGAAGAUGAUGAUUAUGCACACAUGACAGAGAAGAUGAGUAGAAUAUACACCAGUGCACCAAGGCAGUUCACAAUCAUUGAUAGGGGAAGAAGAAACUCAGUUGUGAUACGGAGGAGUGGAUUGGAAGAGGUAUAUAUGUACAGUCCAGGAUCAGAGCAUGACUGGUAUGGUAACUAUGCAUACGUUUGUGUCGGACCAUCUGCUAAGCUGAGACCUCUCGUUGUGGCUCCUGGAGGCAUUUGGAGAGGGUCACAGUGCAUCCACAACCCAAACCUUUAAGACAAGAACCUACAGGCUUCAUUUCAUGCCACUGUAAUAUAAAGGAAAUGGAACUCGGAGUUCUGCUGGAGAUGGGGCGGCAGCUCCACUUCGUCAAGGUUGACUUCGAAGCCAAGUCGCAAUAUGUCGCCCAAAGAGAACGAUUGAGGCAGCUUCUCUUCGCAUGCUUCCAUACAACU